AAACGGAAGUUUUCGGAUGGAAGUUUAAGAACUUAGUGGCGGACGGGUGAGUAACGCGUGGGUAACCUGCCUCAUACAGGGGGAUAACAGUUAGAAAUGACUGCUAACACCGCAUAAUAUAGCGAAACCGCAUGAUUUUGCUAUCAAAUAUUUAUAGGUAUGAGAUGGGCCCGCGUCUGAUUAGCUAGUUGGUGGGGUAAAAGCCUACCAAGGCGACGAUCAGUAGCCGGCUUGAGAGAGUGACCGGCCACAUUGGGACUGAGACACGGCCCAAACUCCUACGGGAGGCAGCAGUGGGGAAUAUUGGACAAUGGGGGAAACCCUGAUCCAGCCGACGCCGCGUGAGUGAAGAAGUAUUUCGGUAUGUAAAGCUCUAUCAGCAGGGAAGAUAAUGACAGUACCUGACUAAGAAGCCCCGGCUAACUACGUGCCAGCCGCCGC
This 441-nucleotide ribosomal RNA is filed under the name uncultured bacterium. RNAcentral's name for it is "bacterial SSU rRNA". It matches the Rfam family "Bacterial small subunit ribosomal RNA", at positions 64 to 518 of the family's 1533-position model. The record is from RNAcentral.